Non-coding RNA from Paramuricea clavata, 465 nucleotides. Lineage: Eukaryota; Metazoa; Cnidaria; Anthozoa; Malacalcyonacea; Plexauridae. The record is from the annotation of a GenBank genome assembly.
AGCGUGCAGAACUUCGCGGCACGCGUUAUUACUGGAAUCAGAAAAUAUGACCAUGUGACGCCUAUCCUUCAGCAGUUAGCUUGGCUUCCAGUUGAGUGCAUGUUAAAACUCAGUGAUGCGCGGUUAUGACAUUUAAGUGCAUGAAAGGGUUAGCUCCACCAUACUUGUGUGACAAAUUCGAAAUGAGAUUAAAGAUCCACAGUGUUAACACCAGAAAUAAGGAUAAGUUAGACAUUCCACUGUAUAAUUCGGCUUCUGGACAGCGAACGUUUCAUUAUCGCGCAGUGUCUAUUUGCAAUGAGCCCCCAAAUCGUAUUAAAGACAUUGACCCUUUGGACCGGUUUAAAAUAGAAUAUAAACGUCAUUUAUCGCAUGGAUUUUUAAAAAGUAGGUAAUAGUAUUAGACAAUUUGGACUUGUUUAAAUUAGCAUAUAAACGUUUUUACUGUAUGGAUUUUAUUAGGAA